RNAcentral lists this ribosomal RNA (305 nucleotides) under uncultured bacterium. RNAcentral's name for it is "bacterial SSU rRNA". It matches the Rfam family "Bacterial small subunit ribosomal RNA", at positions 335 to 637 of the family's 1533-position model. The record is from RNAcentral.
UUGCCUACGGGACGCAGCAGUGAGGAAUAUUGGUCAAUGGGCGCGAGCCUGAACCAGCCAAGUAGCGUGAAGGAUGACUGCCCUACGGGUUGUAAACUUCUUUUAUAAAGGAAUAAAGUGAGGCACGUGUGCCUUUUUGUAUGUAUUUUAUGAAUAAGGAUCGGCUAACUCCGUGCCAGCAGCCGCGGUAAUACGGAGGAUCCGAGCGUUAUCCGGAUUUAUUGGGUUUAAAGGGAGCGUAGGUGGAUUGUUAAGUCAGUUGUGAAAGUUUGCGGCUCAACCGUAAAAUUGCAGUUGAAACUGGC